UGGGACCUGAUCUGAGGAGAUGCCUAGCUAGGAUUCAAACCAGGCAAAGCAUGAUACCAGAGGAAACAGCAGAAGGGACAGAAACAGGGAGCAAGCAUGCAAGCCUCCUGCCCACCCUGCUCAUUCAAGAAGUCUCAAUCUUGACCUAGAGGGACCACCUGUAGCGGUCAGAAGGAACCGCGAAAGGAGGAGCACAGGUCUGGGAGACUGCACACAAUGAAGUUUGUUUCACAGCAC
Long non-coding RNA from Alligator sinensis (Chinese alligator), 237 nucleotides. RefSeq lists it as uncharacterized. The transcript is spliced from 3 exons. Lineage: Eukaryota; Metazoa; Chordata; Crocodylia; Alligatoridae. The record is from RefSeq and is a predicted model, not a curated record.